This 162-nucleotide ribosomal RNA is filed under the name Swartzia grandifolia. Its description in RNAcentral is "5.8S ribosomal RNA". It matches the Rfam family "5.8S ribosomal RNA". From Rfam's summary of the family: 5.8S ribosomal RNA (5.8S rRNA) is a component of the large subunit of the eukaryotic ribosome. It is transcribed by RNA polymerase I as part of the 45S precursor that also contains 18S and 28S rRNA. Lineage: Eukaryota; Viridiplantae; Streptophyta; Magnoliopsida; Fabales; Fabaceae. The record is from RNAcentral.
AAAUGACUCUCGGCAACGGAUAUCUCGGCUCUUGCAUCGAUGAAGAACGUAGUGAAAUGCGAUACUUGGUGUGAAUUGCAGAAUCCCGUGAACCAUCGAGUCUUUGAACGCAAGUUGCGCCUGAAGCCAUUAGGCCGAGGGCACGCCUGCCUGGGUGUCACA